GGACAUAUUCAGAGAAGCGACAUGGAAACCCGAGUUGGAAACAGUCAGCUGGGGAGGAGAGGGAGCAACUUAUUUGCUGAAUCUUUCCUGCUUUGUUUCUGCCUUUGGUCAAAGUCUUACCCUCAGGACAUCCAUAUCCCAGAAGGUUUUUUUGUUUGUUUGUUUAACCUGGCCAAUUCUCUAGGAAGCAUCCAGGGAAACCCAAGCUUUAUUGGCCAUAAGCCAGACACUGUGUAGGCAUAGGGGUCUCUUUCUGUCAGUUGGCACCAAGCAAAGGGUGCUUCAGUCUGCAGUGUUGGUAUCAGCAGUGGCUAUCAGAACUCUACAACUCUCGGAAUAGCUUCUGCUACAGCUGAUCUGGCCAAGAAACCAGGCAAGUGGCCAAGGCCUGAAGAGGCAUGGCUGAAUUGAUCUAGAGUGGCAGAGCAAGUCACCUUGGAAGAUAACUUUUUUGUUCAGAGAAGAAUCACUGGAAUGGUCCUUUUAAGAUCUGUGGGAAAAUCCUUAGGAAUUUCUACAUAAACUAUUGAUGGCAGUGGUGGCCCAUCUGGAGUGGCCACUGUGAAGAUGCCAGCUGCAAUAGGGAGGGCAUGACUGGGGCUGCACAUUCCAUGGAGCCAGCGGGAGCCAGGAACAGUCCUGCCCACGGCUGCCCACGGACCAAUCAGCACGCAGUUCCUCCCUUCUGAGACCAUAAAAAUCCCAGACACAGUCAGACUCACAGAGAUAACUGACUACCAGCUGUGAGAGGGAGCUACCCAAUUUGAGUCUCCUUAACCCAUCCGACCACGUGUUUGCAGAAAAAAGAGCUCUACCCACUCCGAGUCUCCUGUUUGCUGAGGGCUGCACUCCUCACGACAACCUGCCUGCAGAAAGGAGCUCUACCCACUCCGGGUCUCCUCUCUGCUGAGAGCUGGACACUCAUUGGGACGACCUGCCUACAGAUAGGUCAGGAUGACCUGCCUGCAGAUACCCACCCUGGGUCUCUUCUCCACCAAGGGCUGCGCUCAUCAGAAGGACCUGCCUGUGGAAAGAAACUACCCACUUCGGGUCUCUGAAGGGCUAUUCUAUCACUCACUGUCUCCCUUGCUUACUCUCCAGUUGUCUGCAUAUGUCAUUCUUUCUGGACAUGGGACAAAAACUUGGGACUCACUGAAUAGUGGGACUGAAAGAGCUGUAACACAAAGCAGGGCUGAAACCGCCACCCCGCCCCCCCCCCCCCACCUCCCCGUGACUGGUUACCACAUUGCAGGCAAUGAGAAAAAAAGGGCUGCUGCCCUUUAGGGGUCCCAGACCUAGGGGGUCCCCAAGCCAGGACUCUGACACCCUCUUUGGGGCUCUGCAGUUUCUGGCAUCUCCAAGCUUCUGGAUGUCACUGCAUUCCCCUUGUCCAGACAUGAGUGCCCACAGCAGAAGCUGCUUGCAGUGCAUCAGAUCCAGCCACAUGCAUGCAUGGAGCCGGCACCUUUGCCGGUGCCUGGAGCUACCUGCCCCGCCAUAGCAGCCUUCAUGCCUGGCUGUGCACAGUGGCUGGACCCUGCGCUCACUUGCACAUGCACCCCUCACCAUUCCAUUCCUGGUUUGCCCUUGGCAGGUGUCGAAUUUGGGCCCAUAACACAAGCCAAGUGCAGCCUGCCAGGCCAAGUAGAUGGAACAAGCCCAGCAGGCCUGAGCAAAACUCGGACAAAGAUGCCAACGGCCACAGAGGUUUCUGGCUAGAAAAGCAACACCUUAAGGAUCCCAAGACUAUCAUGUUAUCUGCCAAUAAAGACAGUUUUCCUUCUUUUCA
RNAcentral lists this long non-coding RNA (1789 nucleotides) under Homo sapiens (human). RNAcentral's name for it is "HSALNT0057142". Lineage: Eukaryota; Metazoa; Chordata; Mammalia; Primates; Hominidae. The record is from RNAcentral.